This is a non-coding RNA of Heterocephalus glaber (naked mole-rat), 45 nucleotides long. The record is from Rfam. Lineage: Eukaryota; Metazoa; Chordata; Mammalia; Rodentia; Bathyergidae.
UCAAAAGCUUUUCUAAAAGCUAUAAUUUUAAAAACUAAAUUUUUA